GACGCUGCGGCGUGCUAAUACAUGCAAGUCGUACGCUUCUUUUUCCACCGGAGCUUGCUCCACCGGAAAAAGAGGAGUGGCGAACGGGUGAGUAACACGUGGGUAACCUGCCCAUCAGAAGGGGAUAACACUUGGAAACAGGUGCUAAUACCGUAUAACAAUCGAAACCGCAUGGUUUUGAUUUGAAAGGCGCUUUCGGGUGUCGCUGAUGGAUGGACCCGCGGUGCAUUAGCUAGUUGGUGAGGUAACGGCUCACCAAGGCCACGAUGCAUAGCCGACCUGAGAGGGUGAUCGGCCACAUUGGGACUGAGACACGGCCCAAACUCCUACGGGAGGCAGCAGUAGGGAAUCUUCGGCAAUGGACGAAAGUCUGACCGAGCAACGCCGCGUGAGUGAAGAAGGUUUUCGGAUCGUAAAACUCUGUUGUUAGAGAAGAAUAAGGAUGAGAGUAACUGUUCAUCCCUUGACGGUAUCUAACCAGAAAGCCACGGCUAACUACGUGCCAGCAGCCGCGGUAAUACGUAGGUGGCAAGCGUUGUCCGGAUUUAUUGGGCGUAAAGCGAGCGCAGGCGGUUUCUUAAGUCUGAUGUGAAAGCCCCCGGCUCAACCGGGGAGGGUCAUUGGAAACUGGGAGACUUGAGUGCAGAAGAGGAGAGUGGAAUUCCAUGUGUAGCGGUGAAAUGCGUAGAUAUAUGGAGGAACACCAGUGGCGAAGGCGGCUCUCUGGUCUGUAACUGACGCUGAGGCUCGAAAGCGUGGGGAGCAAACAGGAUUAGAUACCCUGGUAGUCCACGCCGUAAACGAUGAGUGCUAAGUGUUGGAGGGUUUCCGCCCUUCAGUGCUGCAGCUAACGCAUUAAGCACUCCGCCUGGG
RNAcentral lists this ribosomal RNA (873 nucleotides) under Enterococcus lactis. Its description in RNAcentral is "bacterial SSU rRNA". It matches the Rfam family "Bacterial small subunit ribosomal RNA", at positions 32 to 877 of the family's 1533-position model. Lineage: Bacteria; Bacillati; Bacillota; Bacilli; Lactobacillales; Enterococcaceae. The record is from RNAcentral.